GGUCAGAUAGCUCAGUUGGUAGAGCAUUGGACUGAAAAUCCAAGUGUCGCCGGUUCGAUUCCGGCUCUGACCAC
Molecule: transfer RNA, 74 nt
Filed under: Blastopirellula retiformator
Lineage: Bacteria; Pseudomonadati; Planctomycetota; Planctomycetia; Pirellulales; Pirellulaceae
Description: Planctomycetes bacterium Enr8 tRNA-Phe
Rfam family: tRNA
About the family: Transfer RNA (tRNA) molecules are approximately 80 nucleotides in length. Their secondary structure includes four short double-helical elements and three loops (D, anti-codon, and T loops).
Source: RNAcentral